Molecule: ribosomal RNA, 253 nt
Filed under: uncultured bacterium
Lineage: Bacteria
Description: partial 16S ribosomal RNA
Rfam family: Bacterial small subunit ribosomal RNA
Source: RNAcentral
UACAGAGGGGGCGAGCGUUGUUCGGAAUUACUGGGCGUAAAGGGCGCGUAGGCGGCCCGCUAAGUCGAACGUGAAAUCCCCAGGCUCAACCUGGGAACUGCGUCCGAUACUGGCAGGCUUGAAUCCGGGAGAGGGAUGUGGAAUUCCAGGUGUAGCGGUGAAAUGCGUAGAUAUCUGGAGGAACACCGGUGGCGAAGGCGGCUCACUGGCCCGGUACUGACGCUGAGGUGCGAAAGCGUGGGGAGCAAACAGG